Sinocyclocheilus rhinocerous is the source of this 949-nucleotide long non-coding RNA. RefSeq lists it as uncharacterized. The record is from RefSeq and is a predicted model, not a curated record. Lineage: Eukaryota; Metazoa; Chordata; Actinopteri; Cypriniformes; Cyprinidae. The transcript has 3 exons.
GUAUUUUUGGUGCAAAACAACUGAGCGUCCGUGACAGCGGAAUUUGUAGUUGUAGAGAAUAGCCACACAUGUGUAUCAGUAAAUCUGAAGUCACAGACAAAAGUUGCAAACUUGUAGAUAUUUUUUUCUCUUCCACAAACACAACACAACAGUUACACCUUCUUGAAUCCUUCACUGCAUGUGCACAAAUCCUAUUCUACGAAUCACAAAUCAAGAAACUCGUAUGCUCACAUGUUUUGCUACUAUUGCUGCAGUGAAUAUGGUGCAAAACACAUUCACACACCUGCACCAAAAAAUGUGAAGUCACGGACGAAUUUUGUACAUCCGCAAAUCAGUUUGUGAAUUCUUGCAAUGAGAUUUGCACGCUUGUAGAAUGUUUUCUUACAUAUAUUUUUUUUUCUUGGAUGCUUUUUCUAGCACAAACACAAGUGCAUAACUACAACGGCGUGAAUCUGCUGCUACGAGUCUCAAACACUGUUUUGUCGCUUGCAAAUGACAAGUUUCACGCUCUCUCCCUUUUGCACCACCUAUCUGUGUGAAAAAUGGUGCAAAAGUGAUUUGUGCAUCUGUAGAGGCAACGGCGGGCACUGUUCAGAGAGCAGAGAAUUUCGGCCAAUCAGAAGAGCUCAUUUGGGCGCCUGAAACACGCCCCCUAGUUUUAGCCACAACCCCGAAAAAUCGCGAGCUGCGAGCAUCUUGACAGCGACAAGUAUCAAAAAAGAAAAAUGACAGAUCAGGGUGCAUCUUCGCAGUGUCCCAAGAGCAGCUGAAACAGCUUGUUAAAUUUUGGGUUGGAUGGGAGAUACCCAUGGCUAGCAUGAAAGUGGAGGUGGUUCGAGCGGAAUAUCCCACUUCAUCCACAUGCUUCCGCACCCUUCGCUUACCUGGUUACUACAACAGUUUCAGAGAAUAUAGUGUUCAUUUAGACAACUGCAUUGCAACCUAACUA